This 1249-nucleotide ribosomal RNA is filed under the name metagenome. Its description in RNAcentral is "bacterial SSU rRNA". It matches the Rfam family "Bacterial small subunit ribosomal RNA", at positions 158 to 1441 of the family's 1533-position model. The record is from RNAcentral.
GGCCGCUAAUACCCCAUAUGCCGAGAGGUGAAAUGAAUUUCGCCUGUAGAUGGGCCCGCGUCUGAUUAGCUAGUUGGUGGGGUAAGAGCCUACCAAGGCGACGGUCAGUAGCUGGUCUGAGAGGAUGAUCAGCCACACUGGGACUGAGACACGGCCCAGACUCCUACGGGAGGCAGCAGUGGGGAAUUUUCCGCAAUGGGCGAAAGCCUGACGGAGCAACGCCGCGUGAGGGAUGAAGGCCUCUGGGCUGUAAACCUCUUUUCUCAAGGAAGAAGACCUGACGGUACUUGAGGAAUAAGCCACGGCUAAUUCCGUGCCAGCAGCCGCGGUAAUACGGGAGUGGCAAGCGUUAUCCGGAAUUAUUGGGCGUAAAGCGUCCGCAGGUGGCCCUGUAAGUCUGUCGUUAAAGCGUGGAGCUUAACUCCAUUUAAGCGAUGGAAACUACAGGGCUAGAGUGUGGUAGGGGCAGAGGGAAUUCCCGGUGUAGCGGUGAAAUGCGUAGAUAUCGGGAAGAACACCAGUGGCGAAGGCGCUCUGCUGGGCCAUCACUGACACUCAUGGACGAAAGCCAGGGGAGCGAAAGGGAUUAGAUACCCCUGUAGUCCUGGCCGUAAACGAUGAACACUAGGUGUCGGGGGAAUCGACCCCCUCGGUGUCGUAGCCAACGCGUUAAGUGUUCCGCCUGGGGAGUACGCACGCAAGUGUGAAACUCAAAGGAAUUGACGGGGGCCCGCACAAGCGGUGGAGUAUGUGGUUUAAUUCGAUGCAACGCGAAGAACCUUACCAGGGUUUGACAUCCUGCGAAUCCCUUGGAAACGAGGGAGUGCCUUCGGGAGCGCAGAGACAGGUGGUGCAUGGCUGUCGUCAGCUCGUGUCGUGAGAUGUUGGGUUAAGUCCCGCAACGAGCGCAACCCACGUCGUUAGUUGCCAGCAUUCAGUUGGGCACUCUAGCGAGACCGCCGGUGAUAAACCGGAGGAAGGUGUGGAUGACGUCAAGUCAUCAUGCCCCUUACAUCCUGGGCUACACACGUACUACAAUGCUACGGACAAAGGGCAGCGAUCCCGCGAGGGCUAGCAAAUCCCAUAAACCGUGGCUCAGUUCAGAUCGUAGGCUGCAACUCGCCUACGUGAAGGAGGAAUCGCUAGUAAUCGCAGGUCAGCAUACUGCGGUGAAUACGUUCCCGGGCCUUGUACACACCGCCCGUCACACCAUGGAAGUUGGCCACGCCCGAAGUAGUUACUCCAACCC